GCUACCUGCAGUCGAGCGAGGUCCAUUCGGUGGUAACACUGAUGAAGACCUAGCGGCGAACGGGUGAGUAACACGUGAGCAACCUGCCCCGAAGUUCGGGAUAACCCGGGGAAACCCGAGCUAAUACCGGAUACCUUCCUUUGGUCGCAUGGCUAUUGGAAGAAAGAUUUAUCGCUUCGGGAGGGGCUCGCGGCCUAUCAGCUAGUUGGUGAGGUAACGGCUCACCAAGGCAUCGACGGGUAGCUGGUCUGAGAGGACGAUCAGCCACACUGGGACUGAGACACGGCCCAGACUCCUACGGGAGGCAGCAGUGGGGAAUCUUGCGCAAUGGGCGAAAGCCUGACGCAGCAACGCCGCGUGCGAGAGGAAGGCCUUAGGGUUGUAAAUCGCUUUCGGCAGGGACGAAAUUGACGGUACCUGCAGAAGAAGCCCCGGCCAACUACGUGCCAGCAGCCGCGGUAACACGUAGGGGGCGAGCGUUGUCCGGAUUCAUUGGGCGUAAAGAGCUCGUAGGCGGCUCAGUAAGUCUGCUGUUAAAGCUCCAGGCUCAACCUGGAGAGGCCAGUGGAUACUGCUGUGGCUAGAGUCCGGUAGGGGAGCGUGGAAUUCCCAGUGUAGCGGUGGAAUGCGCAGAUAUUGGGAGGAACACCAGCGGCGAAGGCGGCGCUCUGGACCGGAACUGACGCUGAGGAGCGAAAGCGUGGGUAGCAAACAGGAUUAGAUAC
Molecule: ribosomal RNA, 725 nt
Filed under: uncultured Actinomycetes bacterium
Lineage: Bacteria; Bacillati; Actinomycetota; Actinomycetes
Description: bacterial SSU rRNA
Rfam family: Bacterial small subunit ribosomal RNA
Source: RNAcentral